AAAGGAGCACAGCACUCAUCCAGUUCCAACCCCCUGCUGUGUGCAGGUCGCCAACCAGCAGCCCAGGCUGCCCAGAGCCACAUCCAGCCUGGCCUUGAAUGCCUGCAGGGAUGGGGCAUCCACAGCCUCCUUGGGCAACCUGUGCCAGUGCCUCACCAUCCUCUGAUGAAAAACUUCCUCCUCAUAUCCAACCUAAACCUCCCCUGUCUCAGUUUAAAACCAUUCCCCUUGUCCCAUCACCACCCACCCUCACAAACAGCCGUUCCCCGUCCUGUUUAUUCGCUCCCUCCAUGUACUGGAAGGCCACCAUGAGGUCUCCCUGCAGCCUUCUCUUCUCCAAGCUGAACAGGCCCAGUUCCCUCAACCUUUCCUCAUACUGCUCCAGCCCUCUGCUCAUCUCAGUGCCUCCUCUGGCCCCGCUCCCAGAGCUCCACGUCCUUCCUGUGCUGGGGGCCCCAGGCCUGGACGCAGCGCUGCAGAUGGGGCCUCACAAGAGCCGAGCAGAGGGGGACGAUCACCUCCCUCUCCUGCUGGCCGCCCCUUUUUCAUGCAGCCCAGAACACAGCUGGCCUUGCGGGCUGCAGGCUCAGUGUAGUUGCAGUAUUUGAUCAGUUCACAAUCAAAUCUAGCAGCCAGGCUAGCUUUUGUUUUCAACUGAGUGUCUCUCAAAGCACAAAGAGCUGGAUCAGUUUUGGUUUCUGCCAUUUUCGUUAAAAUAUGUGCGUUACAGAUUUGGAGUUUAGCAUUUCUUCAACCUGGAGUUCUGAACUGUCCAGUGGGGAGUAGGUGCUUAGUGCCAGAACAAGGUCACUUUACUGUUUAUCUACCUCUAUUUUCUUGCUAUUUCCAUUUGCUCUUGUCCAGGUGGUGGUUUCAGCCAAACAGUCAUACCUUCUGUUUCACCAAAUCUCUCUGUGUUGCAGCAUUUAAAACCAUUUCAGAGGUUUGCUUACUGCUCAUAGUGGGUUUUAAAUUCCAACAGCACUAUAAAUUAUAAUUUGUAGUUUAACCCCUAGUACUCUUGCCUGUUCUUCUGCAGUAAAAUCGCAGAUGAACUCCACUGCCUUCCAUCACCUGUGACUAUGACACAUGCCUUUUCUCAACCAUUUAUGCAUUUAUAUACAGCAGGGUAACUCCUAAGGCUAAAAAGGACUGCUCCUGUACAGUUUAUUAUUGACAUUUUCAAUACUGCUAACACUACUGCUAUUCAAGUAAGAGCUUUUCCAUUCCCUCUUUCAGCAAGACAAAAAUUAAGCCAAUGCUGGUAAUACUAAAAAAAAUCAUGCCACUCUUUAGUAAGACAGAAGAAGGGAUAAAAUUGAAAGAACUGCACAAUUUCACAGAUCAUGGGACCUGGCUUGUUUGUGUUUUUCUUGUGGAGAAGCACUGACUUGUUACUAAUAGGUUCAAGGCUGGCCAGGACGUGAGCUUUGGACAGAGUCACCCAAUCACCAUUCGACCUAUUUAGUGAUAAAAAGGAAAAUUCUGGUUUAUAUAAAACACAGAAUAAAUUGCACUGACCUGUAGCCUAUACUGUUCACUGGAUGUGGAAGGAUUUUGACAGAUUAGUGUGUAUUCCUUUCAAUUAGAGUAGAAAGUAUUCCUGCAUUGGGAGUUCACGUUGCCAGUAUUUCUGGUAAUAAAAAAAACGUUACAUAUUCAAGCACUAGCAGGGAAGUAAUUUCAAAUGUUAAAAUUAAUUCCCAAAGUUGCUUAAUUCUCAGUACUCAGUUUUUUAGGUAACAGCAAAACAGGAGUGUGGAGGACUUAUUGAAUUUAUACUCGUUUUUUUUCUUACUGAAGAAAGAGGUUUGUUUUAUUCAGACAUCAGUGUGAACUGGAGUGAUGGUGGCAGUUGCAUACUGCAGAUCAAAGAUCUCAGUCUCUUUCAUUUCUUACUUGGAAGAGCUUCCAUUUUCCAGAAGAAGCUGCUGCACUUCACACAGCUUUUGCAGUGAAGAUGCUGGGGCUGGAGGCAUUUGAGACUACUGUGAUCAGCACAGGGCAAGAUGGGUGGCAUGAGUAAAGAUGUCACUGCAAUUCAGUGUAAACUCUACUACCAUGUUUCCAGACUGAAGAUAGAAAGGAAUUUUAACAUAGGCAAAACAAGUGAGUCUUGCUUCCAUCCCCCUGCAUACAUUCCUCAAGGGACCUUUCAUUUUCUAAGCUUACAUUGAAUCCCAGUGUCACUAGAGUGAAGACUACAAGGAUUUAAAUAGCGACAGAAAACUGGGAGGGAAAGAAUUUGGUAUCAGGUCAGACUGAGAUUUUUAACAAUUAUUUUAGAACAGAGUGCAUUUAUCAAAAAUUUGUAUUACUUUUAUGGGCAGCAGUGAUCAUGCUGCUUAAUGCUGCAUUAAAAUACAUUUAAACCUGCUAUCCAUGUGUUUUGCCACAAUCUAAUUGCUGUGUAGUCGAGAUAUCUGGAAGCUGUUGCUGUAGAGUCAACAAGUGUUUGCUUCGGGUUUAAAUACUUCUAGGCUGCAUGAGGGAACUGCAUGAUUCAGACUGCUGAGCUUGCUGGUGAUACAUCAGUGUAAAUACUUAUAACAAGUGGAAGAACAACCCCUUUCUUACACGGAUGCAAAUCAUUCCCUUUUCAAGAAUCACACUGAGCUAAUGCUGCAACAAGGGAAGAGGAAUCAGGCUAAUUGACAGCUUCUGUGGCUGAUUACAGAGCAUAAACCACAAAAAACAGAGCAAAUACGAACUUCAAAAAACACUGAUUGCCAGCUGGGGAGUAGUAUCAGCAGUAAUUGGAUUAUAAGUAGUAGUUGCACAACACUUAAAAUCAAACCACUGCCUCCUGUGGCUUAAUGAAAAUCAUUAGGUUAAUGUGAAAUCACACUUUUGAGUUGAAUUCUCUUAGCAGAUGUUAGGAAUUAAUAUGUUAUUCCUGCAGUGGAGUUGGCAGAAAAGAGGCAUCUUCACUUCUCUGUUGUGUGUCUAUUUUCUUAAGCAUAGUUAAACUUUGCAGAUUAAGAUCUCAGGGAUCUCCAAAACAAGAAAAAAAAAGAAAAAAGAAGACAGAGAGUAAACACUUGAUAUGAGGCAGGCGUACACCCUGUGUUGCUAACUGCAGGAAGGCACCAUGGCUCACACCUAUUGAUUACUGGCCAUUCCACAUUCCUAAUGCUUUUUUCUUUGUCUGUAAAUUUGCAGUAGCCUUCUGGUUGCUAUGGCAAUUAAAUUACACCAAACAAAAUGAUUUGGUUGUUAUUUCCAGAUGCUAAGAAAGCAGUAUGUGGACCCAGUUGAGAAAUUGUGGCUGUUUUUCAGAUGAGUGAGCUGCCAAGUCGCAUCUCUGUUGAAACUGAAGACAGCUUCGCUAUGAGCAGUAUUAUUGCACUUAAAAUAACUUCCUAAAUAAAGUUCCAAGUAUAUAGAAAGCACGCACAAAGAACCUUUAAAUCUCUGCUGUCAGGAUUUCUGUUACAUCUGGUUAUAUUUUCUGACUACCUUUAAUUUCAGCAUAAUCACUGGCUGGUCCAUGCACUGAUUUCGCUGUAGCCUGUCACCCUCACUGCUAUGAGGUGAGGAAGAAAUAGUAUUUUACCUGCUUUCUAAGCACACAGUUGAGACGUUCCCUGGUUUAAUUUCACUCACCUACAAGAUUGUCCCAGCAAGCAGGUGACAGAACUCUCCUCCCAUUAAUCAGAUCUCUAUCAUUUAUCUUACAGAUUUUUAUUUAACACGCUUGCAAACACCCCUUAACUUCACUCAGAGAAAAUACCUUAAUCAGAUUGAGUUACUGUGACUUUCUCUUUUGUAAGUCUUGUAUUAUCUCUUACCCCCCUGCCUUUUUUUUCCCCACAAAGUGGUUAUUGAAUCAACUGUAUCUUAAGGCUUUUGCAUGUAGAUUUUCCAUGGAAAUAAGCCUGCUUUUGCUGCCUCUUCUGUUAGAUCAAGCUUGGUACGUCCUUCAGGGUUCUACUCUCAGUCUGCUGGAGCAUGUGGUGGAAUCAAUCCUUUUUUAAGCUGCACACACACAUACACACAUAGCCAAAUACACCCAAAACUCAGCAUAUGUAUGUAUACUGAAACAGUAAAUCCUCAAUGGGAGACAAAGCUGGAGGGAAGAAGGGAAGAAAACUACCUCAGGAAAGUGCAAAAUGAGGCACUGUCUCUCUUCAGCAGCCCCAGAGCAUGCUAUUUUUUAGUCCAUGAAUGACAAGGAGGCAGAUGUGUGUUUCAGAGAGAAGUGAGUUUUAAGAAGAAUAAAAAGUCUGUGUGCACAGGGACUUUUCAGUAUAUAUCAUUUACUGUAAAUUAAAAAAAAAGAACGUUCAGCUUUAGCCUAGUUACAGUUACUGUAGUACAAAACUCUAUUUCAGAAGCUUUUAAAUUGCUAGAAGAUGAGCUGCAAAGCAACUUUCCUCUGUCUUAUAAACUUUCCAGUGUGCAGACAGAAAAAGCUGGUUUCUGGUUUCAUUCUAACUGUACUGAUGCAUCACAGAAAAACAGCAGAAACACAUGUAAUGAAAGCGUAUACCUUUACUAGCAGUUAGGCUGUUGCUAUGUAAGAAUCCAAAAACAAAUAGUUCAAUUGCUGGGGUUUUACUUACAGGCCUGGGGAAGAUCUUCAGCAUAGCAGAUUUCCCUCUCCAGCACCUCUUGGCAAGGAGGUCCUCUGGUGUAAGACUGGCUCCUUAGAAGCACAUUCUUUGUUCCCCCUGAGGUUCAGCAUCAGCCUCACUCAGUUGUUUCAGCAGAAAGCAGAAGUCCCCGCUGCGUUGCACCUUCCUGUAAAGUGACAUCAAGGAGUAGAAAGCUCAAGAAAGACAUUAAGACCUGCACUCAUUUUUUCUGUUUCUUCACAGACUUCACAACAUGCUUUGCCCUUUCUCCACAUUCUCUUUCCACCACUCGUUUCUAUGUUCUUUCCUCAGCUGACGCUCCAUUUGAAGCACAUGCUUCUCUCUUUUGCUCCGUUCUUAGGACACUUAAACUCUUCUAUGACUUAAGCAAUUCCUAAGCUACUCUUCUCACAGCUAUCUGUACCACACAGUCCUGUUUGUGCCGGACUGAUUACCACUGUUCCAUAGUUCUGCCAACAAAGCAGCUCCUCCAACUGCUUCCAAAUCACAGCUUGAAUAGUUUAAAGUAUUUUUUAGACUGAACUUACUGAUGUCUGAAACAGGAAAGCUAACUCCAGUGAGCUUUUCCAAAAGCAAAUUUCACAAUAGAAGCUGUCAGUCACCUCACUAGUAAUAAAUUGCAACUUCAGUUGGAAAACGCUCAGCAAAGGCACUUCCAUCUGCAAUCUGCCUGCAUCCUCUUCCUUUUUACUUGCUGCACAUUCCUUUCAGGCUCUUGUUUCACUACCUUUGUCCUGAGGUCAGGCGGACCCUCUUUGGUUGUUGUUUGUUUUUCUCUCCUCCCUCUCCCUAUUUUUUAUUUUUAACUAAUUCAAAAUUCUAAGCAUCUUUCAAAGAGGUAAAGACAAAAAGCUUUUUAGGUACCAAGCAAAAUUCAUGCCUACUGAGUAACAAAGAUAGGUGAAAUUAAUAGCUUCAGUGACGCUAACUUGUUAAGAGAUACAGAUUACACAUCCUUUCAUUAAAACCUGGAUUACAGCAAAUAAAACUGAAUACUGUUCUUAUUUGCCUAGUCAGCUAUACAUAGAUCUCAUCAAAUCCCAAAUCACCCCCUCCAUCCACCAGUCGGUGCCAGAAUGAAGUAUUUAUCCUGACAUCCUGCGUAAUGGAAGAUGUAAACAUCACCCAACGGCUUCUGCACCAAACCAACAUCUUCACUUCAACCAGGCCAUAAAACACAUCAUUAGAAAGGUCUCUGAUAUUUGAAGAAUUCAAAAGGCACCCAUGGUUGGAUAAGGAGAGGAUCAGGCUGGGAGUGUCCUGCAACUCCUGCCAUUCUGUCCUGCUUUUAAACCCACGACAAUGAAAAACCUCCCUGCAGCCACAGAGAUGGAGGAGAGCCUGCAUGCCAGGCCACCUUCUGCUGUCCCUUCUUGCUCCCAAGAAUCCACAAAUUGGAUUAGAGAAACUGACUUAAGUAACUCUAUGUCAUGGCUGUGUAAUCCUUCUGUGAACCUAAAGAUACAGCUCUCACUUUUAGAGUACAGUACCAAACUCAAUAUGCCUUUUUAUCUGGUUUAGAGGUCAGUACUCAGUUAUUUUGCCACUGUAUCUUUCUGGACAGGCCACUGUGAAUGAUGAGUGCAGGCAGAGAAGUGGGGCACAGUUCUAGAAGCAGCUUUGAACCCUUCUAGUCCUCCAUAUAGAAAUUUGUCUUGGCAAUGUUACUUUUAGUGUGAAGUUAACCAACACAGAAGCAUUGGAAUCAAAUUGUAACAAAGACACCUCUUGCUAAGCAUGAGCACUGUCUAAUGACUGAAGAGGAUCCAGUGUUUUAUUCCCCCCUCCUUCCAUUCCCUAAACUUGUUAACCAAGAAAAACUUCCAGAGCAGGUUUCAAAUGCACACAUCCCAGGAGGAGAUGUACCAGCAGGGAGGGAGCUGUGCUUUCCAACUCAUCCCAACUGGAAAUGAUGCUCUGAGCACCUGUGCUAUGACCAGUCAUUAAAAUGUUCCAGAUUCUGAUUUAAGUCUGCAAUGCUACUUUCAUUUUCCUGUUUUCAGGUUUGCUGCAAAGAAUGCAAGUAGAUGCAAAAACACUGUUUUUAACAAUAGGAAAGAAAUCUUCUUAGGCUGUUGGACUGAAAGGCCUGGAAUGGUUGAGAAUCUCCAGUGAUUUCACAGAUGAUCCAUGUAUUUGUAUAGAUCACUGGAUUUUGUCUUCUAUCUAAUGUAAAAUCUGCAAUGACAGCAGGAACAAUUUCACACCAAUACAGCAGUCUGCAUUUUAGUGCACGGUGCUGUAGAAAUGGAGGUCACAGUCUCCAAAGAGCCUGAGAGGGAUACUUGUGUUGUUGAAUUUCACUGCAAAUGGAAAAGAUUUAUGCCAUGAUCAGAAGUGUAGCUCUUUCCAGAGGGAGAUUCUCAAGCAAUUAUCACUGGUAAAGCAGUUUUUAGCUCUACUAGCCAUUAAUUUAGUUAGUCUUUUCUAAUUGCUUUUAUGACCAGUGCCUCAGGUGCAGCUGAUAGCUGCACAAUCCAGCCAAGCUCCUGCUUCCUCAUCUCCUGGAGACGAACGUUCUUCUGCUAUUCUGAUUUAGGACUCAGACUGCAAAACAGUGACAGCUCCUAAACACAGCGUAGUGUCGUGCUGUGUUUUACAGAAAACAGUCCAUAGGUUGAGGUUUCAAGUCUUCAAGUUUGUUGGUGUUUUGCUUUGUUGGUUGGUGGGGUGUUUGUUUCCACAGGAAACUUAGUGCCAUGAUCUCUUUCUAGAGCAUAGAACUAUCAGUGUGAUAGUUAUUUUUUUUCAAUGUAUCUUACUUUCUAAAAGCUACCAAAAAAUAAAAUUAAAAAAAAAAAAAUCAAGUUUAAAAACAGUAAUGCAUCAUUAGUAGUGCUUGAGCUCCUGAAACACUGAAUUCAACAUUCUAACAACAUAUAUUGUAUGAUGUGGGCCUUUCACAAAACACUGGGUACAUAACACAACCUUGUUUUUCUGACUGAUUUGAGAACAGUUAAUGUCAACCUGCAACUUUUUCUUUCCCACUUAUAAAUGGUUUUACAACUGCUGUGCAGAGCAGCAGCAACUGUCAGCUUUUCCAGCGUGGUUUGAACCGUGCUCUUCACAAAAAUCCAGUUUCCUGGGUCUAACUGCUUGUAAAUACGAUGCUGCUGGUGUCCAGAGGAAUAUCUGCUGUUGAUGGUUUCUCUCCUGCCCUCUGGAAUCCUCCAGCAGUGUCAUGCAAGCAGUGGCUCCACUGGAACUCGAGCAUAAUUCUCCCAUUAAAUGAUUUCUGAGCAGCAAAGCGCACGCUUCUACAUCCUCCGUGCUGGGUUUGCCUCGUUACACUGGUACAGGUUGCUCAUUUAUCCCCUUUGCAAAGAGCAGCAGCAGAUCUGGAUUUUGUUCUCACUCGAAAUACAGCUGGAAACAGCCUCCCUCGGGUUGGGUCAGUGUUGGUGACGACCUCAACUCCGUGCUGUUCUGCACACUCUGCUGACCUUCACCAUCCCCUGCGGCCUCUUCUGUUGUCGCAAGGAUGUCUGAAAAUGUUUUAGCUUGUCAAUGUAACCAGUCCCUCUCAUACUGCAUUUUUCUUUUCAAUUCUGUAGAAAUAACAGAUGGUCACACCAAAACCACCAACACUUGGGUGCUGGUUGCUCCUCUUCCAAGACAAACCCAAAAGAAACAUGCAUUCCACGCAGUCAUGCCAGUUUCACCAAAAUCUUUUGGUGAAAAUUAAGCCUUCUUUGAAAUGCUGACAUUUUCUCAAACAUUUCUUUUUCAUUCAUAUUGUUUCAGAAAGAACAGCAAAUGUUUGUAAAUAAAUGUUGCUUUAAGAAAAAAAAUAACCGAAAAGAAUACUUGAUUUACUUACCGGCCUACUGACUGCACACUGUGGCACCGUAUGACUCUUUAGAAUUCUUUUCCUAUAAAUUCCAUAUUAUACAAGAAUCCAUAUUUAAAUGAAUUGUGUGAAAGUUGAGAGGCUGCAAGGGGGUGAUGUUUGUGAUCUACAACAAAAGGAGGAAAAAAAUGAAGAGUCUGCCAUGAGAUCAGCUGAAAGAGAAAGCCACCUCUGGUUUGUCUUACAGCAUCAGCUGAAACAGAGUUGUGUUUAUGACAGAGCAGGUCUGCAAAAUUCAGUGGGAUUUCUUUUGCCGUUGUGCCCAAAAGGCAAGGUUGUAAUUGCAAGUAUGGUGUGCAAAUAAAAAUUCCUACUGCUCUGUG
Molecule: long non-coding RNA, 8771 nt
Organism: Tympanuchus pallidicinctus (lesser prairie-chicken)
Lineage: Eukaryota; Metazoa; Chordata; Aves; Galliformes; Phasianidae
Exons: 2
Source: RefSeq, a predicted model, not a curated record